RNAcentral lists this transfer RNA (358 nucleotides) under uncultured Microcystis sp. Its description in RNAcentral is "partial 16S-23S ribosomal RNA intergenic spacer". The stretch from base 133 to 206 matches the Rfam family "tRNA". The record is from RNAcentral. Lineage: Bacteria; Bacillati; Cyanobacteriota; Cyanophyceae; Chroococcales; Microcystaceae.
AAGGGAGACCUAAUUCCGGUAGGAGACGAAAAAAAAGUAGUCCCAACCAAGAAUCAAUCCCAAAAGGUCGGAACGAGGUAUGAGGCUUUCAAACUAGGUUCUGGGUUCAUAAAAGACCUGAAUCAGGAGCAAGGGCUAUUAGCUCAGGUGGUUAGAGCGCACCCCUGAUAAGGGUGAGGUCCCUGGUUCGAGUCCAGGAUGGCCCACCUGCACAGGUGGCAAAAACAAGAGAAGCUCCGAGUCAGCACCUUAUCUUAUAUACAUAUAUAAGAGAGAAUGCUGGCUCUGAGUACAGAGUCCAGAGGAACCUUGAAAACUGCAUAGAGCUAGGUGAAAAAGCCAAAAAAGAAGACCGCAA